GCCAGGUGUGGUGGUGUGCACCUGUAGUCCCAGCUACUCAGGAGGCUGAGGCAGGAGGAUCGCUUGACUCCAGGAGUUCAAGGCUGCAGUGAGCCAUAAUCAUGCCAUUGUACUCUAGCCUGGGCAACAAAGCAAGACCCUGUCUCAA
Gorilla gorilla gorilla (western lowland gorilla) is the source of this 148-nucleotide non-coding RNA. It matches the Rfam family "Metazoan signal recognition particle RNA". Rfam says of the family: The signal recognition particle (SRP) is a universally conserved ribonucleoprotein. It is involved in the co-translational targeting of proteins to membranes. NCBI's taxonomy places the organism in Eukaryota, Metazoa, Chordata, Mammalia, Primates, Hominidae. The record is from Rfam.